GCGCGCUUAGCUCAGGGGUAGAGCGGCUGCUUUACACGCAGUUGGUCGGAGGUUCAAAUCCUUCAGCGCGCACCC
Molecule: transfer RNA, 75 nt
Filed under: bacterium
Lineage: Bacteria
Also listed under: 1 other name
Description: tRNA-Val
Rfam family: tRNA
About the family: Transfer RNA (tRNA) molecules are approximately 80 nucleotides in length. Their secondary structure includes four short double-helical elements and three loops (D, anti-codon, and T loops).
Source: RNAcentral